This 9713-nucleotide long non-coding RNA is filed under the name Theobroma cacao (cacao). RNAcentral describes it as "long non-coding RNA (TCAC_LNC005047)". Lineage: Eukaryota; Viridiplantae; Streptophyta; Magnoliopsida; Malvales; Malvaceae. The record is from RNAcentral.
AGGUAUAAUACCCUCUCCAAAUUCAUCGUCUAUGUAGAUUGGCACAGCUUCUCUCCAUCCAAAGGCUACAACAAUUGUACUAAUGGCUUUCACUUUAGAUGAGUCAUUUUGUGUAGCUCGGAAAAAGUAUGGACUCCGAAGGGAGGUAAGAGAAGGGCUUGUUGCCGAAAAUGAAAUGAUUGGAACUUGAGAUUUGUUUCCGAGAUUGAUAAGAAAAUUGGCCUGCAUUGAAGUGUGCGGCCCUAUGAUUGCUUGCACUUGUACAUUUUUUAUCAAGUCAAGAGCUGUUUGUCAAGCAAACAAAAUUCUGACUUAAAUAUAGUUGCUGUAGCUGGAUAAUCCUAGAUUAUAUAUGCUCUGACUACUCGUUAACUAAAUCUAUAUAUGCUCUGACUACUCGUUAACUAAAUCUACAUAUGUCUCAUGCCAAUUAUAUUUUUGCAAUAUACACAUACUUCUCUAUGGUAAUAAUACCUAUCACUCCUUUUCUUUAAGUCAUUUUCAAGAUAAACUAGUACAAAUAUUUUAAUAGAUUUUAAGCCAAAUAUUCUCGAUACAGCUAGUCUCGAGUUCAUAGUAUAAAAAUAUAUAUAUAUAUAUAUAUAUAAAGUGAAGGCAAAUUGAUCAGUCACAAAAUCUAAGAUAUACUAUAUUUAGCCCUUUUAUAUUAUUUUAUUUCAAUAUAAUACAAGUUAUUCAUUUAAAUUUGAUUUUAUAUAUAAAAUUUUUUCAAACUUAUUUUAUAGAAGGAGAAUUCAAACUUAAUUUUUAUAAAAAAGAUAAAUUAAUAUAUAUAUAUAUAUUUGAGAAUCAAAUAAUCAAGUAAGUAAAUAUUUAUAUAUAUUUUUUAAUACCGUAAAUCUUUUCCACUUAAAUAUUUGACUUCUUUAUAAGUAUAUCUUUCAUCUACUUAAAUAUUUAUAUUUUUAAAUAUUUUUUUAAUGUAGUCCUUCAACAUCUCAAUUUUAUUCAAUUUAAUUCAUGUACUAUACAUUUUUAUUUAAUUUAAUCUCUAUGUUGUGACACAAAAAAUUUUUAAAAUUUUUUUAAUCUAUCACAUGGCACUGACACGCUAGCAUGUCAAUGUCACAUCAACAUAUUAGUGCCAUGUGGUACUACCACAUCAUCAUAUUAGUGCCACAUGGCAUGCCACAUCAUCAUAUGGGUGCCACAUCAUCAUUGAUAUCAAUGCUGAUAUCAUCAUUUUAACAAAAAAAAUUGGAUACUGUUAAAAGAGGGAUUAAAUUGAAAAAAUUCUCAAAAUCAAAAUAUUAAAUUAUUUCGAUUUUGAAUAUAGGGAUUGAAUUGAACAAAAUACAUAAAUAUAGGGACUUGUUGGAUGUUUUGAUUAAGGUUGAAAGUUAAGAUUUCUAAAAGUUUUUCAUAUAUAUCAACUUUUUUUUUCUGAAAAAAAGGAAAAGGAAAGUCACAUGGAGAGAGGUGACAGAGGAAACGCGUACCAGCAGCAGCGGCGCCAAUAACGUCCUUGGAGUCCCUGGGGUUCAAGACAAUCCUGGUUCUGUAGGAAGCAUGAGUGGCGUAAAAGUCAGAGAGGGCCAUGUUGAUGCAGCUCAACCCAAUCUUCCCAAGCUUUGUAUCCAAGUCAAGAACCACCCCCACAUUAACAGGGAUGCUAUUGUUGUUUUGUGCAACAACCACAUGCAUCAACAAAACCUUGCACGAAAUGACCACGAGGUAGAAAAAAUGGAGGGGAGGGCUAGUUACUGCGGUAGCUUUUUGCAUCUUCAUUGAAGCUCUUGAGCAGGGUCUGGCCUUCACAAGAAGAUACUGAUAUUUACACUGGAUGAAUAAAAGAGCCGCAAUUGGAGAAAUUGCAUGGGUAAAUUCUGAAGGAUAUGGUUAGCACAACUCAAGACUGAAGAGUGAAUAAUUAAAUAAUAAUAAAAAACUUAUCUCCUCCUCCUUACAUAAGGGAGUGGGACAAUGUCGAUCUGAUGCCUAGAGAUAGAAUUUGUCUUGUUUCAGUAUCAAUCGUUUACCUUGACCAAAUCAAAAUACAGACAAAAAAAAAUCGACAUCACCUUGUUGCUCUCAAAUUAAUUAGAAAAGAAAUUCUGCUCCUCCAAAUUUGUAUCCUACGAAGAUUCUAUUGGAAGGGAAAUAACGGUCGGUCAGAGAUUGGUGGAUGGCUUUUCAUCAAGUUCCAAUCGUAUAUUUUGUCAGCAGGCAGGCAAGGAAAUUUGAGGCAGCUGGUGGCCCCUACUUUGGGUGUUGAAUAAAAAAAAAACACAAAUGAAAAACAUUACAUGUCCUAUUGGCCAUUGGGGGAAUAUCAGGACGACUGCCAGGAAACAAGUAACCCAAACAGUAGUCUACUACACAUGUUUAGAAGAAAUUUCAAGCUUUGACUUGAAUAAAACAUGGAGUAGUUUUGAGUUAUUUAAUAUUGUGCCAAAAAUAUAAAGAGAAGUUAAACUAAAGACAUGUAAAGUAACAUUUUAUGAAACUAAAAUUACUUAUCUUACCUUUGUAUUUUACUAGUACAUUUCAGGAUUUAUAUUUUCCAAGUUAGGCCAAUUUUUCUUUCUUUGAAAAGUUUUUGUCUUGUAAAAAUGUUGAAUUUGAGUAGCCUACUUAAUCAAUCAAUUUGUGUGGCAGCAAAUGUCCUUUCCUAGGAUCUAAUCAAUGACUUAAUUACUCAAAACAUUACAUCAUACAGCUUCUUUUCCAGGAAAGUGUAAGGAAAACAUGGGACUGAAAACUCGGGACUCUUAAUUGAUAAUGAAAGGCCACAAGUAGCAUUUGAUUUGAGGCAAAUUAAGCAAUGGUUAUUAAAUUAAUCAUGACUUGGAGUAUAUUUGUCAAUUCAAAAAAGAAAGAUUCUCUACUUACUUUAUACUAAAAUCCUAUGCUUCUCUAUUAGUAUAAAUUAAUAAAAAAUAAAGUAAAAUACUGUUAUUCUCUUAAUUUUUAAUCAUAAUUCUAGACGAGUCUAUUAAUUUUCAAAAUGAACAUUUUAUCUAAAAAGUGUAAAUAUUGUUAAUAAAAAUUAUAAAAUGACUAAAACACAUUUUCUUUUUUUUUUCUUUCAAACAAUAUGAUCAGUCGACGACAAGAACACCGAUCAAGUUCUCCUUAGGACCCUAGAAGCUCCUCGACUUCUUUUGGCAAAAAAAAAAAUUACAAAAAAAAUAAUAUAAUAAUUUUUAAAAUUAAUAAAAAGUAAAAUUAUCUUUUUAAUAUUGUCACGUCAUCAAACUAACAGAAAUAUUAACAGUUGAUUGAUGGCUAGACCUAUGUGUUUAGGAGAAGAUAUUUUUUAAGAUAAAGUAUUCAUUUUAAAAAUUAAUGAACCCGCUUGGAGUUAUGACUAAAAGUAAAAGUGAGAGUAUUUAUCUUAAAAAUUAUAAUAAUGAAAAAGUAAUAGUAUUAAUUAGGAAGGAUAUGAAGUAACUAUUGCAAAAGCUUUGACCUCAUGUCUUGUUAAUUAAUUAAGGAAACAUUUUGUCUCCUGAUUUUUCCAGGAAACCAAACGCCUCCCUCUUCUAUCCUUGUUUUUCCUUCCUUCUUAUUGCUCCAUAUUAUUUUAUUUUCUUGCACUUGCUUCACAAUCAUAUGGCUUAUUUUAUGUAUGCAACCACAACUCUAAACAUCUUCAACUAGGAUUUUAUAUUGUCUCUUCCAUCCUCUACACCAUCAUAGGCAAAUAUAUCUAUAUCUAAACAUUUGACUCAUUGAUUGGUGCAUGAUCCCCUUACCUAAAAAGCAAAGUUUGAAUCCCCUCUCUCUCAAUUAAAAAAAAAUUCAUAUAUAUAUAUAUAUAUAUAUAUAUAUAUAUUACCCUUAUCCUUUUUCCAUUUUACCCUGAGUCUAGCACCCGCUUAACCAGCUUGACUUCCAAUCUUAGGGACUCACUUUGACUUUGAACAAGGAAUUGAUAACGACCUUUAUCUUUAAUAAUCUCAAUAAUCAAGCAUACUUUUCCUGAGUUGGAAAAUUCGGUGUAGAUGAAAAAUUUGAAUUAAAAUUUUUCGAUACUGACUCAAUUUUUUAAAAGUUUUCCCCAAUUUCAUGAUUAUUUAUUUAAUCGAAUGUACUAAUCAGCCAACAUAUUCAUCCGUUAAAAAUUGGAGCAAAUGUUGGCAUGUUUAGAAACAACCAUGCAUAUGUAUUUGGGACCAUUCUAUGAGUUACUUAUAGAUUAUCUUGAUAUUUUCAAUCCCUAGAUUUUAAAUUUUUUUCUUAAUCAAAGGUAAAUUUUAUUGAGUAUCAAAUGUUUGAUAAGAAAGAUAGCAAGAAAAGGAACAAUAUGUGCCUAGCCCAUUGUUAUUAUGUAGAUUUUAUGUAUUAUUAAUGAACUAAAUAUUUUCACAUAAUUAAUAAAAAAAAUUUAAAGGUUGAGUAGUCUAAAAAAUGAAUACUUAUAAUUCUAAAAAUAUAUAUUUUGAAAUUUUUUUUAAAUUUUUAUCUUUACACAUUUAUAAAGUAAUGUUAUGUAAUUAAAUAAUAAUAUAUAAAUAUUAUACAUUGACGGUAUACUAAAUAUACCUAUAGUGCUAUUUCUUGGAAGUUUUCUCAAAUACAAACCUCAAUAUUAUUUUUUUUUAUAUAUAAAAACGUUAAGCCACCAUCACUGAUAUUGUAACUGCUUAAUUCCAGUGCAACUAUCUCACGGAAGCUGACUAAGUCCAAGGUUGUUUGGGAGUGCCCACCCAAGGGUUGGUUCAAGUUCAAUACCAAUAGGGCAGCUAGGGGUUGUCCGACGCAUCUUGGGAUUGGAGGGGUUCUACGCGACGACACAAGGGCUGUCAAGCUCGUCUUCUCAAAGAAUGCUAGUUAGGGUGAUGCCAAUCUCGAAGAGGUGUUAGCAGUUUAAGAGGCCAUUUUAUAGCCUCCUCCUGGGUGCAUUCUUAUAGCAUUAUCAUUGAAUCUGACUUUAGGAGUGUUGUGUCUUGGGUGUCCGAUCCUACUAAAGCUUCGUCAAGGGUGAGACAACUUAUCCUUCAGAUUUGCUCACUCAAAAAUGCAGUUGCUAGCUGGCAGAUCAGGCAUAUUUCAAGAUCAGUAAUGAGGUUGCUGACAUCCUUGCCAAAUUAGGGGUUGACAGAGUCCAUGAUUUGUUACGCUUUCAGCCUUAAUUGUUGUUGUGACUUUGUGCUUGCGGGGAUUUUUAGGUUAUUGCUUUAGUGUGGAGUUGCUGCCUUUCUCAUUCAUGUGAAGGUAAUGUCUAAUCCGGGGAAUGUCAUGCUUUUGUCAAAUUUGCAAGAGGAGUAAACAUCCAUGAGGGCCAUGUUUCUUACUCUUGUUUAUCAUUUUGCCUAUUUUUGUUUUAGGAUGCGAUUUACUGCUAAGGAGAUAUGAGCACUUUUUUUUGUAUAGUUACAGGUUGUUUCUGGCUAUAUUUUUGUAAGCCAGACUUCCAAUAAGGUCCUGCUCAUUGUGUAUAUGGGAUUUUCCCUUUUGUUAAUGAAGUUUACCAUCUUUAAUUUUCCAAAAAAAAAAAAAAGGUUUAAGCCUCGUCAUUAUUUCAGUCAUAGUCGAAGAAACAACUUAACUAUUUGCAUGCAUUACACAUUACAUCAGGCUUAAACCAACAAUAUGACUCCGUGCGACUCCUUUGCUUGUAAUGGGGACAAAUAGGGAAUCUUGUUAUCCUGUUCUAAACUUUUCUUCCCUGUGAGUUUCCUCUUUCUUUAUCCUUGACUUCACUCACAUAUUUCUUAGUUGAAGCUUCUGCAUGUGCCUUUUCCCUUCAUUCAAAUAGUAAAGGCAAGAUCAACUUUUUCAUUUUUCCUAGCAACUUUCCUUUAUUCAUCAACUUCUAAAACAUUCACCAAAUCUGAUAUAGAGCUCUGUGAGAUGUCUUUCACUUGUUCCAAAGAAGAAACUGUGGCAUCAAACCUUUUAGGUAAACUGGUAAGGACUUUCUCCACAACCUUAGCAUCAGAUAAAGUCUCUCUCAACAGUCGAAUUGGAUUUUCCAGCUUCAUCACUGCAUUAAUGAAUUCUUGCACAGUCUGACUUUCUCUCAUCCUCAGAAGUUCAUAUUGCCUUCUGAAGUUCUGUAGAUGAAUUGGCUUGUUUAUGGCAGACCCCAAAAGUUCUUCUUCAAGUUUGUUCCAACCCUGUUUUGCUGUCUCACAUCCCAUAAUCAGGCUGAAAACGGACUCUGUAACAGCUGAGUGUAUGAAGGAUAAGGCUCUGAAUUUCUUUGCAAUAUCCUCUUCAUAUUGCUUCACCUAUGUUAGUGUGGCAUUAUCUCUCAAUGCUGGUACAUCUGUCUCAUUUUCAACUGCAUUCCAUAGAUUGACACCUUUCAAGAAUGCUUUCAUUCUAAUGGCCCAAACAAGAUAGUUAGAGGCAUUGAAAAUGGGCGUAGUUUGACAUUUUGAUGAAGAAUAAACUUGUGAUGAGUGAGAAAGAGGUUUUAAUUGGCUCACAGAUUGGUUAUCUGCUUUGAUAUCAUGUCAUGAAGCUAAAAAAAGAUGAUAAAAAUAGUAUUAUAUACUGUUCUGUAGAAAAAGGAAAAACAUAGAGCAAGCUGGAGAAGGAAAGAUGCUUCAUUAAUUACUAAACAGAUAAUAUAUAUAUACAAGCAUCAUAUGGUUAACAACUGUUUACAAAGUGUACAAGUGUUAUUAACUAAAACAUGCACUAAAACACCUUAUAAACACUGGUAUAAUAUUCUUAAUAACUAGUACAAUGAAGCAAAAUACAUAGUAAAAAACAAAAUGAUAAAGUUAAUGCAUGCUUUAACUCUAACUUGUACAUCAAUUUAUAUUCUUCAUUACCGACGUUGUCACUGGAGCAAAGGGGAAUAUCUACACCAAUUAUUCUCUGGGGCCAUUUGUAGUGUUACCAAGCUCAAUAGAAUGUCUUUCAGGAAAAGGGAAUAUCUCCGGAGAAGCUGUAACGCUUGGGGUAAUAUCACCAUUUUCAGCUACUCUUCGUUGAUCUGCCAAGAACACAAAGUCUGGCUCUGUUUGGUUUGAGUAGCUUGAUGGACUUGGUGGGCAGUUAGUGUUUGGUGAGUCUCCUGCAACACUAAUACUAUGAACACUAUCAUUUCUGCUUUUGUCUUCGAGUUCGCUUUUUCUGAAAGUAUGGGAGCUAAGGUCUUUUUGGUCGAAAAUUCUUGACAUGAUCUGAAUUCUUCUCCAGAAAGGAGUUUCAGAAUCAAAAUGCAACAAGACAUGCCUUUGCUCAUAAAAAAAUAUUGCUGCAAAUAUGAUUAGAGCUGAUAUUGAGGCGACUCCAGCAAUAAGGAACAAGCCCCCAAAACUCUCAACACCAAGACUGUUGGAAGAAACCAAAGUGUUGAGGUCAGGACAACUGCUUCCCUUAUUGAACCAGGCCUGUUCAAUUUGAUUCAUUUUUUCACCCUCAGUAACAUUUAGGACUGCCCUAGAAACAUCUGCUACAAGAGGGGAACCUCUAGGGAAGACCUAUAAAUUGCAAAAUAGUAUAAUCACAAAGAAACAUCCCAUAUGGUUAGAGAAAAGAUUAGAGAUUGAGAGAGAACUCACAAAACCGAAGCCAUCAGUUCUCAAUUUUGGUUCGACUGCGGUAUAUUCGUAGCAAUAUUUGGCGAGAAAGAGCUUCAUAUAAGGAAUUUCGUCCAAAGUAGCAACAACCCCACCAUUGGCACUUCCUUUGGUAAAGAGAUCAUGAAGUUCUUCCGGGGACUGGUAUUCUAUGAGCUGGGAUUCAGGAAAUCUAAACUGACCCUUCAAGAUUCCUUCGAUAAAGGAGUCUUUCAGGAAACCAACCUUUUCCCCUUUCUUUAAGAGCUCUUGUAUGUCAGUUACCGUAGGUUGGAGCUGUUGCACAGUUAGAAGUGAAGUCAAACUAGCCGUGUAGCUUUGGGUGAGAAUGAGGACGACGAAACACCAUAUUAUUACCACGAAUCGAGCCAAGUUACUGACAACUCUCUCCCCUGCAAUUACAAUCCAAGAAGCAAAGAAAGUAAACAAUCUGAAGUAAAUAGUACAACUUCGUAAAUAGAGAAGGUGAAAGAAUUAUUACGAUGUGCAAACACCAUGGUCGAGAAGGAGAACCAGAAACUCGUGCCAGCUUGAUGCGAAGGGGGUCCCCUGAAAUCUUCAUUUAUUCUGUGUUCUAGAACCCAAACAACAAAUCCGAUGAAAAGGAAAAAGCAAGCACUUGUCAUCCAGAGGUCCCAUGUCAGAGGUUUCAAGAAAACCCAUGCAUUCUUCCUCCUGUUAUCUCUGAUCGGUACAAACAUUGAUACACCUGAUUCAGUGUAUGGUAAUGUGAAGUCCACGUACUGUGACCUGUUUGCCACAAUCGUUGUAUCUCCUACCACCGCAUCGUAUGUCUGUUCAUUUUUGCCAAAAAAAUUAAUGAAAAUUCCUGUUGACAAACUCAACGUAUAAAGAAGAUAAGGAGAUGUUUUACCCCAUUGUACACUUGAAAGAUUAAGUCAUCAUAAGUCCCGGCGCUCUUGCCAUCUGGUGUUGUAAAGGGAAUGAACUCAUAAGUAACAGCAUAAGGCAUUGCAGCCAUUACAGCAUAAAAAACAUCUAUGCAAUAUCUGGUGACUGAAGCAGCUGUAUGAGAAUUAAAAUCCCAUGUUUAACAAAUUCACUGAAACCACCCUUCAUUGGAACCCCAAUCCUCAACUUCUUCUCAUUUGUUGGAAUCUCCCAGCCUUUUGGAGGAGAGGUGGUAUCCCCUGGCCAUAUGAUGGGGCCAAGAUUUGGCUUAUGAGUAGAAUUAGUGCUUCUGUUUGCCAAAUUCAAUUCUUUUACAAGUCCACUUUUUGGUGUCCAAAACCCGACUCUUCUUUCCCCAUUUCCAUUUACGUUAACAAUCUGAAAAACUGGUGAUUGUAGCUGUCCAUUAACAAAAUUAAUGUCUCCAGUAAGACCCUUGAAUUUAGUGCUUGACAAUGCUUGGAUAAGUUGUGGACCAUUUUGCGAGACGCCGAGAGAUUCAAGAUCUGUUCCACUGCUAGAAACAUUAGUUUUGUUGAAGCUGAAGUUUCCCAUGCUAACAUUCUCAAUUGCCAUGGCUAGUGCAAAAGUGGCAUCAUAAGCCCACGGUCCAAAAAUGUUCAACUCAGCAUUAAUAAUGGUGGGAUUGUCUUGCUGGAAUUUCCUUUUCCAUCGAACUUUAAAAUUUUCUAACUCAUUUGUUCCGGGAACGUAAGUCCUUACACCUAAAACCCCUUGCAUGGAAUCGAUGGUUGGAGGGUCUGUUAAACUCCAAAGAUUAGUCAUUCCAUCUGUCACGAUCCAAGCAUAACCUUCACUCAUCAUUCCAACCUCUUUCGCUAAGGCAAAAAGCCUGGUGCCGAGAGAUGGUGGCAUAUGCACAAUGAACACUCUUGUUUGCAUCGUCAAUAGCUUGUAAAGCUCUUUUGAAAUUUGGUCAUCGCUAGCUGGUGAAGGGAUGACACUUUGGUAUGGGACACGAACAUUGAUCCCUUGCAAGGCGUCUGUCAAGUAAGGUAUAAUACCCUCUCCAAAUUCAUCGUCUAUGUAGAUUGGCACAACUUCUCUCCAUCCAAAGGCUACAACAAUUGCACUAAUGGCUUUCACUUGAGAUGAGUCAUUUUGUGUAGCUCGGAAAAAGUAUGGACUUCGAAGGGAGGUAAGAGAAGGGCUUGUUGCCGAAAAUGAAAUGAUGGGAACUUGAGAUUUGUUUCCGAGAUUGAUAAGAAAAUUGGCCUGCAUUGAAGUUUGCGGCCCUAUGAUUGCUUGCACUUGUACAUUUUUUAUCAAGUCAAG